CCAGGAGGUCUGGAAUGUUGAGAAGCCAGAAGAUUCUGAGAUUUCAGUUAGAUCUCUCAGCCUUGAGAAGCCUAGGAUGGAGGUCUGGCCAAAACUUUCUCCUGAGGAGAUACUCACCUUUUUCUCUCAUGAAGAGAACAUGGAGCAAGAGGUGAGCCCCUGAGGCAGACAAGGAACAAACUGGGAGAAUGGGAAGGAGGCAAGGAAGAAGAAGCUGGAGUGACCAUGACUACAAGUGAUAUGGAAGGGGAGCAGAAGUUGAAACGCCCUUAGAGGGACUGUGACCAGGCAAUAAGGAACCUACAUAGACUAAAUACAGAUCUGCUGAAUAAUUGUUUAUGUUACUCAGACCAAAAAUGGUGAUCCUUCCCUUUACUCCCAUAUUCUUGCUCUCUCAGGAACCCAGCUUAUUUUUCUAGCCUCUAUAUCUUAAGAGUUUGUUUUGCUUUCCUUCUCAAUUGUUUUGAAAACUGGCUUCACGAAGAUAAAGAAGUUAACCAUUGUUUUAUUCAUCUCUUUACUCAAAGGCAGCUGAAAGAAAGGCAAUGAGGAAUGAAGUACUAAGUGGAGGGGGGAGGGUAGAGGAAGGAGUGUUAGAGAGAAGGGAGAAAAGAGUUUUAAAAGAGUGAGGGAGAAGAGAAAGGCAAGAGUGAGAGAAAAGGAGAGAGAAGAGAAGAGGAAAAUCAAAGAGAGAUAUGAGAAAGAAAGAGUAAGAGGGAGAAGAGAAAAGAGAGACAGAAACAGAAAAAUAUAGACAGAGAGAGAGAAAUGGAAAGAGACAGAAAGAGAACUCUUGGAACGCUUCCUGGUAUUGGGAUUUGGAGUUGAAGAAAGGAAAAUUAUCUAUUUUAAUAACUUCUCAGAGUAAUGAGAAAAAUGUGGUUCUGGAUUAUUCCUUAGCAAACAAAACUAGCAGCUUGUUGGAACUGGAACACACUGGAGUUGCUGACGUGAUGUGACUCUCCAGGAAUUUUCCUGGAGUGAAUAGAAAGUUAUGCCCAAGGGAUAGAACUAAAAAAGGGUAGUGAAGCACACUUGGAAGGGGGGGGCCUAAAACAGAAAAUAAUCAGCCCUCUACUCAUCAGCACAAUAGCAUCUACCCAAGUAAUUGUUAGACUGGGCCUGACACCACAUGCAUUUCCUAUAAUACAUCUUUUUUUUUAAACCCUUAUCUUCAUUUUAGAAUCAAUACUGUUUGUUCCCUUUCUUUCCUUUCCUUCAGGGAUCAAAGUUAGUCUUUAUAAUUACAUAAUGUUUAGAUUUAUGUUUUUUUUUUCUAUUUACAUUGCUGUAGUCGGAUAUAUUAUUCUCCUUUUUAUAGGUACAUAAAAUUUUUAAUUUUGCCUUUACAAUUUAUUCAGUUGUUAUAUGAUCACACAGCAUUCAAAUAUGCCUCAAUGGAGACAGUUAGUUUAUUAAAGAUCAUGGGUCCUUCAGGUAUGCUAUGUUUUUGUUAUCAUUUGCUACAAGAGCCUCUCUGUUCUCUUAAGUCCAAAAGUCAUUCAGAUCAAUUAGAAUGAUAUUGACUGUGUCUCCUUGGUUACUAUUGAUUAAAUCCUGAAGGAAUAUUUUCAAAGGAUCCUUAGCUUUUACCAUGUCAAAGAUUUCAUUCUUGACAUCUUGAAAUGAAAUAGGAUAUUGUCCAUGGAUUUUUAUUCAUUCCUGAAUAGUCCUGAAGAAAUAAUUAAGAGAAAAGACAUUCAGAUAUCUUCUGUUCUCUAAAUCAAGCGAUUUGAAAAUAUACUACAAUGCUACAGGUUCUUUUUGGUUUUCUAAUGCUAGCACAGAGUCUACAUAGGUUGUAUAAUCCAUUUCUCCAUCAUAUGUAAGGCACUCUUGGAAGACACAAUCUAAAAAGACAUUGGUCAUAAUUGCUGUUCCAUAUUAAGAGAGUUCUUCCUUCCUUAAUUUUUACUCUCUGUCAUAAUAACAAUUCUUAAAACAGAAAGGCAAGGGCUAGGCAAUGGGAGUUAAGUGACUUGCCCAGGGUCACAGAGCUAGGAAAGAUCUAAAGUCAUAAUUGAACCCACAACCUCCCAUCUACAGGACUGCCUCUAUCCACUAAGCCACCUACAUUCCCUUGUAGCUAUUCUUUUUUACAUUUAUUUUAUUCAUACAGUAUAAUCUGCAUAUAUGUCUUUGUUAUAUUUGUUAUAUCAGAUCUUCUGAUGUAAGGGCUCCAUGUAAGGAAGGAUUGUUUUGCUUAUUGUAUUUGUGUUCCUAAAGCCUGGCAUAGUACAAAGGCUCACCUUGUAUAAGGUGAGCACUUAUUAAAUGCUUGUUAAUUGAAAAAAAAAAAAACAAACCCAACACAAUUAUGGUGUUUCCACUUCCAUAAUCCAUCCUCCACUUAGCUGUCAAAAUGUCACUCCCUACUCAAUAAACUCCAAUGGCUCCAAGAUCA
This is a long non-coding RNA of Monodelphis domestica (gray short-tailed opossum), 2404 nucleotides long. Lineage: Eukaryota; Metazoa; Chordata; Mammalia; Didelphimorphia; Didelphidae. The record is from Ensembl.